Molecule: unclassified non-coding RNA, 1167 nt
Filed under: Hevea brasiliensis (rubber tree)
Lineage: Eukaryota; Viridiplantae; Streptophyta; Magnoliopsida; Malpighiales; Euphorbiaceae
Source: RNAcentral
GUGGUUGGUGGUUAGUGAAGAGUAGCUCACAUUUUAUGUGAACUGUUGGGAUGUCAUUUUAUUUGCUUUGCUAAUUUUAUUUUAUUGUUUUUGCCAGUUGUUGCUUCUGCUUCUGCAUUUCUCUAAACCCCUCUUUACUAGUAUAUCCAGACUCCAGAGACAGAAAGAAGAAGAAAUCUCGAUUUAGUGAUUGAUUUUGGUAAAAAAUGGCGUCGAAGUUGUUAAUGCUAACUAUUUUCGUAUUCGAUCUGAUUGCUUUUGGUUUGGCUAUUGCUGCUGAGCGGAGAAGAAGCACUGCAAAUAUCAAAAAAGAUGGUGAAGAUGAACAUAGCUAUUGCGUCUAUGACUCUGAUAUAGCAACUGGAUUUGGUGUUGGUGCCUUUUUAUUUCUUAUGCUUAGUCAAAUAAUUGUAAUGGUGGCGAGCCGUUGCUUCUGCUGUGGAAAGGCUUUGAGGCCUGGAGGUUCAAGAGCUUGUGCUGUUCUCUUAUUCAUCAUAUGCUGGGUUGCAUUUUUUAUAGCUGAGGUCUGCUUGUUGGCUGGUUCGGUUAGAAAUGCUUAUCAUACCAAGUAUCGAUCAUCAUACUUGACGAGUGAUAAACCUCUAUCAUGUGAAACUCUGAGAAAAGGAGUUUUUGCAGCUGGAGCAGCUUUCGUUUUCUUCACCAGUAUACUCUCUCAGUUCUACUAUGUGACCUAUGCCAAGGCGCUAGGUGGCCCCAUGCCGUAUGGUGGUGAAGCCGGCGUUGGCAUGGCAGCCUACAAAUGAGGGUGAUCAAGGUCGUUACGUUUAUAUGUUAAAAAAUAAUAGUUGGGAUUUUGAAGUUUAUGUAUAAUACAACUUUCUAUUGCUUAGUUGCAAAGUUCGUUGUACCAUAUUCCUUCUGCAUAAAAUUUUUGUUCAGUUAGUGUGAACUUUCAUCUGCAAACAUCUGUUUAGAUUUGAGAUUGAGAGUGAACUGUUUCUUUUUUUUUCUUUGUUGAACCAACAGGAAGUCUCUGUAGCAAGGUACUUGUUGGAUUGCAUGGCGUGAGACGGGCUUAAAUAGAGUGAUAUGUACAUUCAACUUGUUUGUGAUUGAUGCGUUGAGGAAUAAAUUAGAAGCAUUAGAUGUGUACAAACGAGAUAUUAAGUAAAGGCAAUGAUUUGAGAAUAGAAAACCUUCAUC